CGUAGGGUGCAAGCGUUGUCCGGAAUUAUUGGGCGUAAAGAGCUCGUAGGCGGUCUGUCGCGUCUGCUGUGAAAACUCGGGGCUUAACCCCGGGCCUGCAGUGGGUACGGGCAGACUAGAGUGCGGUAGGGGAGACUGGAAUUCCUGGUGUAGCGGUGAAAUGCGCAGAUAUCAGGAGGAACACCGGUGGCGAAGGCGGGUCUCUGGGCCGUAACUGACGCUGAGGAGCGAAAGCAUGGGGAGCGAACAGGAUUAGAUACCCUGGUAGUCCAUGCCGUAAACGUUGGGCGCUAGGUGUGGGGCUCUUUCCACGAGUUCCGUGCCGCAGCAAACGCAUUAAGCGCCCCGCCUGGGGAGUACGGCCGCAAGGCUA
Molecule: ribosomal RNA, 373 nt
Filed under: uncultured organism
Description: bacterial SSU rRNA
Rfam family: Bacterial small subunit ribosomal RNA
Source: RNAcentral